RNAcentral lists this ribosomal RNA (207 nucleotides) under uncultured bacterium. RNAcentral describes it as "partial 16S ribosomal RNA". It matches the Rfam family "Bacterial small subunit ribosomal RNA", at positions 568 to 774 of the family's 1533-position model. The record is from RNAcentral.
CACGUAGGCGGACCAGCAAGUUAGGGGUGAAAUCCCGGGGCUCAACCCCGGAACUGCCUUUAAAACUGCAUGACUAGAGUACGGUAGAGGGUAGUGGAAUUUCCUGUGUAGCGGUGAAAUGCGUAGAUAUAGGAAGGAACACCAGUGGCGAAGGCGACUACCUGGACUGAUACUGACACUGAGGUGCGAAAGCGUGGGGAGCAAACA